This 497-nucleotide ribosomal RNA is filed under the name uncultured bacterium. RNAcentral's name for it is "partial 16S ribosomal RNA". It matches the Rfam family "Bacterial small subunit ribosomal RNA", at positions 28 to 507 of the family's 1533-position model. The record is from RNAcentral.
GACGAACGCUGGCGGCGUGCCUAAUACAUGCAAGUUGAGCGCUGAAGGUUGGUGCUUGUACCAACUGGAUGAGCAGCGAACGGGUGAGUAACGCGUGGGGAAGCUGCCUUUGAGCGGGGGACAACAUUUGGAAACGACUGCUAAUACUGCAUAAAAACUUUAAACACAAGUUUUAAGUUUGAAAGAUGCAAUUGCAGAACUCAAAGAUGAUCCCGCGUUGUAUUAGCUAGUUGGUGAGGUAAAGGCUCACCAAGGCGAUGAUACAUAGCCGACCUGAGAGGGUGAUCGGCCACCUUGGGACUGGGACACGGCCCAAACUCCUACGGGAGGCAGCAGUAGGGAAUCUUCGGCAAUGGACGAAAGGCUGACCGAGCAACGCCGCGGGAGGGAAGAAGGUUUUCGGAUCGUAAAACUCUGUUGGUAGAGAAGAACGUUGGUGAGAGUGGAAAGCUCAUCAAGUGACGGUAACUACCCAGAAAGGGACGGCUAACUACGUG